GAUGAAGAACGUAGCGAAGUGCGAUAAGCAAUGCGAAUUGCAGAACCGUGAGUCAUCAGAUUUUUGAACGCAACUGGCGCCGAUUGGCUAUCCAGUCGGCAUGCUUGUUUCAGUGUCUUGUUUUCUCAUCACCCAAAUCUUAAUGCGAGAGAUACCCUUCUCUUGCUAAGUACGAAAGCACUCUGAGCCCUGCAAGUGACUUGGCUUCGGUCAAGGUCACACUCAAUGCAGCAGUCACAUUGCUCAUAAUGUGAACUCAUUGAGAGCGGAGUCAGCGCAGCUUGUCUGCAAGUGCUUAGAGCCUUAAACUCUACAUGUAUCUGAAAUCAAGCAGGACUACCCGCUGAACUUAAGCAUAUCAAUAAGCGGAGGA
This 373-nucleotide unclassified non-coding RNA is filed under the name soil metagenome. Its description in RNAcentral is "partial contains 5.8S ribosomal RNA, internal transcribed spacer 2, and large subunit ribosomal RNA". The stretch from base 1 to 118 matches the Rfam family "5.8S ribosomal RNA", at positions 35 to 154 of the family's 154-position model. The record is from RNAcentral.